RNAcentral lists this small RNA (135 nucleotides) under Gavia stellata (red-throated loon). RNAcentral's name for it is "Glm Y RNA activator of glmS mRNA". It matches the Rfam family "Glm Y RNA activator of glmS mRNA". From Rfam's summary of the family: This family consists of a number of bacterial RNA genes of around 167 bases in length. The function of this RNA is unknown. The record is from Rfam by way of RNAcentral. Lineage: Eukaryota; Metazoa; Chordata; Aves; Gaviiformes; Gaviidae.
UGUUGCCAUCCGAACCUAGAAAUGCGUAAGAAUUACCAGCCAGCUUGCAUGUGCCUCAGUGCUCAUCUCCCACCUCACUUGUCCCUCAGGCUGGACUCAAAGCAUCGGGUGAAACGUUGAGUUGUGCUCUGCCAG